UAUCAGAUUUUUACACAUAAAAAGAUAGACCUUUCUCCAAAAAACAGGGUCACGGGCAAAAAACCCCUCCUUCCCUUUUUCUUGCUUCUUCCUUCAUCAUCUUCAACGGAACGAGAUCUCCCCCAUCCCGAGAACAAAGGCACCAUUUUCUGGUCUUUUUCUUCCUCAUUCUUGAAAAGGACCACCAUAUUUUGAGUUCAAAAAUCUGAAUCUCAGAUCUUAAAUAAAAAAAAAAUCUGUUCAUCUUCAUUUCGAAUUUUAGCUAAAAAAUGAAUUUCUCUUAAAAUGUUGGAAUUGGUUCGAAUGUGACUAAGAUGUAGGCUGUUCGAAGUUGAUUCGCAUGUCCGUCCGAGUUUUUUGUUAAAUUUAAGUUCCGGCUAUUUGAGAUCUGGUUCAUUGUUCGAUUUUGCUGAUUUUGCUGCUGCAUUGUUGAUUUGCUGAGCUUCAUUUCCGGGUUAUCCGGAAUUUGAUUUUGGAGAAUGGUCUCAGCUUGAAGCUUUAAAUUGGAAA
This is a long non-coding RNA of Nicotiana attenuata, 510 nucleotides long. RefSeq lists it as uncharacterized. NCBI's taxonomy places the organism in Eukaryota, Viridiplantae, Streptophyta, Magnoliopsida, Solanales, Solanaceae. The transcript has 2 exons. The record is from RefSeq and is a predicted model, not a curated record.